GACGAACGCUGGCGGCGUGCCUAACACAUGCAAGUCGAGCGGAGAUGAUGUGAGGAAGUUUUCGGAUGGAAUCACAUUAUUUUAGCGGCGGACGGGUGAGUAACGCGUGAGCGACCAACCUUGCACAGGGGGAUAACGGACCGAAAGGUUCACUAAUACCGCAUGAGACCACGGUGUUGCAUGACACAGAGGUCAAAGGAGCAAUCCGGUGCAAGACGGGCUCGCGUCCGAUUAGGUAGUUGGAGGGGUAACGGCCCACCAAGCCUAUGAUCGGUAGCCGACCUGAGAGGGUGAUCGGCCACAUUGGAACUGAGAUACGGUCCAAACUCCUACGGGAGGCAGCAGUGGGGAAUAUUGGGCAAUGGGGGAAACCCUGACCCAGUAACGCCGCGUGAAGGAAGAAGGUUUUCGGAUUGUAAACCUCUGUCCUUGGUGAAGAGAAGAAGACGGUAGCCAAGGAGGAAGCCCCGGCUAACUACGUGCCAGCAGCCGCGGUAA
RNAcentral lists this ribosomal RNA (498 nucleotides) under uncultured bacterium. RNAcentral describes it as "partial 16S ribosomal RNA". It matches the Rfam family "Bacterial small subunit ribosomal RNA", at positions 28 to 523 of the family's 1533-position model. The record is from RNAcentral.